CCCUCCUCUCUCUGACUCGUUCCCUUCUUUCUCUGACUCGUUCCCUCCUCUCUCUGACUCGUUUCCUUCUUGCCCUGACUCGUCCCGGCCUCAGGACUCUCCCGUAUGAUGUUGAUGCUGACAGACGAUUUGUUGCUGAAAUCAGCAGCGUAGGAUCCAGACUCCUGGCUCCGUGAUUGGUCCGUGCCGUCUUUCCUGACGCCGUGGCUGCUCUCGGAUGGCGACGGCGAGCUUAAACAGCUUCUGGACGCCACCUCGUGCAUUAGCACCGCCCCCGCCGCCAUAGCGGCCGCUCCAGCCAGCAGAUCGAGCUUUGACGCCUUUUUCGGUGUUUCUAUUUUUGACUGAGCCUCUUUUUUUUCUUUCUUAGACUUUUUAGACAAAGCUGUGCUCUCUCUAGAUUUAGAUUUGUGUUUAACCAGUGCGAGCGGUCGCGGGCUACCGGCGCUCUCUCCAUCCAGAGCAUCGGCCAGCCGAGACGCAGGUUCAGAGGCGACGCCUGAAAGUGUCUGUCUGGCGUCAGGACUUUGUUUCCAGUCUGGUUCCAGCUUCCUGCCGACCUCCAUCAGCCGGCUUUUCCCCUGAGCUGGCCUGAGCCGCGGCUUGGACGCCGCCUUCCUUAUGUCCCCGACACUUGGUUUGUCUCUACUGGGUUUCCUCUGCAGCUCCUCCAUGGCCAUGAUCAGAUUCUCUUUGUUCUGGUUGGUUGUUUUGUGUCUCUGUGGGCUCCGAGAGGCCCGAGAGCGAGCGCUGUGGCUCCUCAGGCCCUCAGGAGGGAGCGCCCGGCGGGGAGAGGCAGCCUUGCUCU
Long non-coding RNA from Perca flavescens (yellow perch), 808 nucleotides. RefSeq lists it as uncharacterized. The record is from RefSeq and is a predicted model, not a curated record. The transcript is spliced from 2 exons. NCBI's taxonomy places the organism in Eukaryota, Metazoa, Chordata, Actinopteri, Perciformes, Percidae.